Molecule: ribosomal RNA, 1448 nt
Filed under: Triticum aestivum (bread wheat)
Lineage: Eukaryota; Viridiplantae; Streptophyta; Magnoliopsida; Poales; Poaceae
Description: partial small subunit ribosomal RNA
Source: RNAcentral
CAUCUCCUCGUGCCCCCUCCCCCACCACCGCACCACCUCCGUUCCCCCACCAACGAACCACCUCCACCACCUCACCACCUCCCUCCCCUCGCCAGCGAGCCACCCCGCCCCACCCUACCGGGGCCUUCCUCCCAUCGCCGACGAGCCACCCAGGCCCCGACGACUUUCCCGCACGAGCCGGCGCCGGAUCCAGGCCUCGGCGGGCCCCCACGACAUCCAGGCGCCGGAUCCAGGCCACGACGGGCCCCUGCGACGCCCCGCUGCAGGAGCCAGGCCGCGACGGCACCCCGAGCCGCCGCCCCACCUCCGCAACCCACCCUUCCCUUCCCGGCCUCCUUCUACCUCCCCCAUCAUGCCGGCCCGCCCAGACCCGCCGCCAUCCUCGAGCAGUGCGCCGCGAGCCCUGGAGCAGUGCACCGCGAGCCCUCUAGCAGCUCAUCCAUGGGCGCCGACAAUUUUUUUGGCUUCUGCAGUUCGAUACCCCCUGCGUGCAGCUCGGGCGCGAGCAUGAUGUGGUUCGGUGCAGUCCAUUUGGUCCGACGCCACCAGCCGCGGCCACCAGCCUCCCCAUCUUGCAACUCUCUUUCUCUGCUCUGUGGCAGUCCCCUGUCGAGCAGCAGCUAGAAAACAGUGUCGCCAUGUUGUUCGGUACCAAACGCCACGCAGUUGGUUCCUGCAUCAGCUUGUAGUGAUUUGUGAAGAUUGCACCGCCCGUGAUGGUUCCUGCAUCAGCUUGCAGUGCACAUUGCGUAGCUUAUUCGGCGGGGCGUGUGGUUCGUCUGAGCUCGGCGUGCAGUGCGUAACACAAGUCGUCAUUCAGUGCUAGAUCCGCCUCCCCCUGUUUGCAGCUCCUUUCAAUAUUUUUUGCAGCUCACUGAGUAUUCUUUUGCAGUUUGUUAUGAAAAUCCAAUGGCGCUGGCCGCGCCACGCCUUUUCCUGUUGCUUCAUCUGAGGAGAGGACGGCCUCCUCUCCCUGCCAUGUCAAGAUCCGACCUCCACUACCUGCGCCCGGAGUGCAAGCUCCCUUCGGCGAGGAGCGAGGUCCACAACAAGUCCAUCCCGGCGGGUUGACGGGGUCGGUCAGUAUCGGAUUCCUGGCAACCGUGCAGUUUGGUGUAUUUUUAUGCCUCAACCGUGCAACUGACUGGGUGCUCCCAGUGAGGUUCUGUGGUUUUGGGUGUUCAGUGUGCUCCUAAUCACCCAUGUAGUUCAUUUUUACUGUACAUUUUGCAUUGUUUUGCUUGUGUGGUGCAAUUAUCUUCUGGGUCUAGUACAGUGCGAUGCUGGGAAGAUGUGGGCGACGAGGCAUGCAGUUCCCUAGCGUGAACAUGUUCGAGGAUGUGGAUUUUGUUUUUGCAGUUUGUUGUUCCUAUUUGAGUAGUCCAAAAAGCGUGUUUUAUGUGAUGUGGGAUGUACGGUUGUAUGCAAUUGUAAUUGUGAACUCGCCC